This 420-nucleotide ribosomal RNA is filed under the name uncultured archaeon. Its description in RNAcentral is "partial 16S ribosomal RNA". It matches the Rfam family "Archaeal small subunit ribosomal RNA", at positions 323 to 746 of the family's 1478-position model. The record is from RNAcentral.
CUACGGGCCGCACCAGUUAGGUAUAAUCUACAAUGCGCGAAAGCGUGAUAGUUUGAAUCAGAGUGCGUUUCUAUGAAAUGCUUUUGCCAAGUUUAAAACGCUUGGCGAAUAAGGACUGGGUAAGACGAGUGCCAGCCGCCGCAGUAAUACUCGCGGUCCAAGUCGCAGCCAUUUUUAUUGGGUCUAAAACAUCCGUAGCUUGCUUUUUAAGUUCCUUGUGAAAUCCUGUAUCUCAAAUAUAGGGCGUGCAAGGAGUACUGGGAAGCUAGAGAUUGGGAGACGUAAAGAGUACGUUUAAGGUAGCGGUAAAAUGUGUUAAUCUUAAACGGACUAACAAUAGCGAAGGCACUUUACGAGAACAGUUCUGACAGUAAGGGAUGAAGGCCAGGGGCGCAAAACGGAUUAGAUACCCGCGUAGUC